UUGUGGAGGAGGACGCCGAAGGUGGGGCUAAUGACUGGGGUGAAGUCGUAACAAGGUAGCCGUACCGGAAGGUGCGGCUGGAUCACCUCCUAACAGGGAGACAACAAAAUGUUUAAUAUUAUUAUUUUGUCACCUUAGGUCGAUCGGUAUCUCACAUUCUUAAUUUAUUAAGGAUUUCAUUUCCUAAGUUUUUCUAGGUCACACCCAUUAUUUUUCCUGGGCCAUUAGCUCAGGUGGUUAGAGCGCACCCCUGAUAAGGGUGAGGUCCCUGGUUCAAGUCCAGGAUGGCCCAUAUCUCUAUGUUGGGGGUAUAGCUCAGUUGGUAGAGCGCCUGCUUUGCAAGCAGGAUGUCAGCGGUUCGAGUCCGCUUACCUCCACUGAUUACCACCUCUUCCAUAAUCUUUAUAAGGAAAUGUUUUGAGUUGUGAUCAAAUUCUGAACGAAUCUAGCUUCCUAAUGAAAUCAUUAAGAUGCUGGACUCAUUGAAUUAAUUUCAUUGUUUUCAGAGAACCUUGACAACUGCAUAGAUUAUUUUUAAAGACAAUAAGCAUCUUUAAUUGAUGCAGAUUUAUUAUUUGCGCGAAUGCAUUAAUAACAAUUCUAUUAAGCUGAUGCUUCAAUUUUUGAAGUUAUUGGUCAAGCUACAA
This 647-nucleotide unclassified non-coding RNA is filed under the name uncultured Prochlorococcus sp. RNAcentral describes it as "partial 16S-23S ribosomal RNA intergenic spacer; may also contain 16S ribosomal RNA and 23S ribosomal RNA". The stretch from base 305 to 377 matches the Rfam family "tRNA". Lineage: Bacteria; Bacillati; Cyanobacteriota; Cyanophyceae; Synechococcales; Prochlorococcaceae. The record is from RNAcentral.